Molecule: long non-coding RNA, 1072 nt
Organism: Homo sapiens (human)
Lineage: Eukaryota; Metazoa; Chordata; Mammalia; Primates; Hominidae
Gene: CATSPER2P1
Product: CATSPER2 pseudogene 1
Source: Ensembl
GCGGGGCGGGGCCGAGGCGGCGAGUGUCUGGGCGAGCGUGGCUGGGCCCGGUCCUGGGCUGGGGGCAGGGGCUAGGGCCGGGUCCCGGGGUGAGCCGAAACCUGGGGGUCGGGCGGGGCGGGAAAUGGGGCGCAGUGAGGCUGGGAGCCGGCCCUGAGCUCGUCCUGCGUAGGGGUAGCCGGGCUCAGGGGGCGCCUGAGCUGGAGGUGGAAGCGUGAAGUCAGGACUGAGUGGGCGAAGAGAACCUGGGCUGAGACAUGGCCGCUUACCAACAAGAAGGGCAGAUGCAGCUUCCCCGAGCUGAUGCCAUUCGUUCACGUCUCAUCGAUACUUUCUCUCUCAUCGAGCAUUUGCAAGGCUUGAGCCAAGCUGUGCUGCGACACACUAUCAGGAGUUACUUGAUCCUUCCCGCCAGAAGAAACUUAUGUUGGGAGAUCAACACCAGCUAGUGGGCGUCUCUAUAAAGCCUCAACGUAUAGAACAGAUUUCACAUGCCCAGAGGCUGUUGAGCAGGCUUCAUGUGCGCUGCAGUCAGAGGCCACCUCUUUCUUUGUGGGCCGGAUGGGUCCUUGAGUAAUUGCUGGAAUCCACAAAUACCAAACUAUGGCCAUUGAAGCUGACCUUGGAGGGGGCAGCUUGGUUUAUCUUGCUUAUUUUCAUCCUGGAGAUCCUUCUUAAGUGGCUAUCCAACUUUUCUGUUUUCUGGAAGAGUGCCUGGAAUGUCUUUGACUUUGUUGUUACCAUGUUGGUAAGGAUAGAGAUCCUGAGGGUUCGUUUAGUGGGAUGAAGAAUGUGCCUAGGUGAAUCGAAAGAACAAGUUAACAUGAUAAUAGGAAGAAACAAAAAUUUACUUAACUUCUUUCUUUUGAUUUUUUUUUCCUAAAACUAAACAUCAAUCAUUGCAGGAGUUGUUGGUAUUAGGAGCAAAGUAGACUAACUACAACAUCAAUGCCAACAAGAGCAUCUGCCGGUUACUGAGCACUUACUAAGUGCCAAGCACUAUUUUAAGUGUUUUCCUUACAUUAUCUCAUUUAUGCUCCACAACAACCUAAUUAAAUAACCAUGAAUUUUA